RNAcentral lists this transfer RNA (63 nucleotides) under Sophrops subrugatus. Its description in RNAcentral is "tRNA-Cys". It matches the Rfam family "tRNA". From Rfam's summary of the family: Transfer RNA (tRNA) molecules are approximately 80 nucleotides in length. Lineage: Eukaryota; Metazoa; Arthropoda; Insecta; Coleoptera; Scarabaeidae. The record is from RNAcentral.
AGCCUUAUAGUUUAGGAGAAUACCAGACUGCAAAUUUGGAGGGGGGGGGGACCUCUAAGGCUU